AGCCCUGUAGUUCAAUGGUAGAAUAUCGGUCUCUGAAACCGAAGACGAAGGAUCGAUACCUUCUGGGGCUG
This 71-nucleotide transfer RNA is filed under the name Stenotrophomonas phage vB_SmaS-DLP_6. It matches the Rfam family "tRNA". Rfam says of the family: Transfer RNA (tRNA) molecules are approximately 80 nucleotides in length. Their secondary structure includes four short double-helical elements and three loops (D, anti-codon, and T loops). Lineage: Duplodnaviria; Heunggongvirae; Uroviricota; Caudoviricetes. The record is from Rfam by way of RNAcentral.